CCACGGGGGCUGCAGUGGGGAAUAUUGGACAAUGGGGGGAACCCUGAUCCAGCCAUGCCGCGUGUGUGAAGAAGGCCCUCGGGUUGUAAAGCACUUUCAGUGAGGAAGAACGCCUGGUGGUUAAUACCCAUCAGGAAAGACAUCACUCACAGAAGAAGCACCGGCUAACUCCGUGCCAGCAGCCGCGGUAAUACGGAGGGUGCGAGCGUUAAUCGGAAUUACUGGGCGUAAAGCGCGCGUAGGUGGCUUGAUAAGCCGGUUGUGAAAGCCCCGGGCUCAACCUGGGAACGGCAUCCGGAACUGUCAAGCUAGAGUGCAGGAGAGGAAGGUAGAAUUCCCGGUGUAGCGGUGAAAUGCGUAGAGAUCGGGAGGAAUACCAGUGGCGAAGGCGGCCUUCUGGACUGACACUGACACUGAGGUGCGAAAGCGUGGGUAGCAAACAGGAUUAGAUACCCGAGUAGUC
RNAcentral lists this ribosomal RNA (463 nucleotides) under Vreelandella stevensii. Its description in RNAcentral is "partial 16S ribosomal RNA". It matches the Rfam family "Bacterial small subunit ribosomal RNA", at positions 339 to 795 of the family's 1533-position model. Lineage: Bacteria; Pseudomonadati; Pseudomonadota; Gammaproteobacteria; Oceanospirillales; Halomonadaceae. The record is from RNAcentral.